Molecule: ribosomal RNA, 456 nt
Filed under: uncultured bacterium
Lineage: Bacteria
Description: bacterial SSU rRNA
Rfam family: Bacterial small subunit ribosomal RNA
Source: RNAcentral
UACGGGAAGGCAGCAGGUGGGGAAUAUUGCACAAUGGGCGCAAGCCUGAUGCAGCCAUGCCGCGUGUAUGAAGAAGGCCUUCGGGUUGUAAAGUACUUUCAGUCGUGAGGAAGGUGUUAAGGUUAAUAACCUUAGCAAUUGACGUUAGCGACAGAAGAAGCACCGGCUAACUCCGUGCCAGCAGCCGCGGUAAUACGGAGGGUGCGAGCGUUAAUCGGAAUUACUGGGCGUAAAGGGCACGCAGGCGGUUAAUUAAGUUGGAUGUGAAAUCCCCGGGCUUAACCUGGGAAUGGCAUUCAAGACUGGUUAGCUAGAGUCUUGUAGAGGGGGUAGAAUUCCAUGUGUAGCGGUGAAAUGCGUAGAGAUGUGGAGGAAUACCGGUGGCGAAGGCGGCCCCCUGGGCAAAAGACUGACGCUCAUGUGCGAAAGCGUGGGGAGCAAACAGGAUUAGAUACC